Long non-coding RNA from Leopardus geoffroyi (Geoffroy's cat), 436 nucleotides. RefSeq lists it as uncharacterized. The transcript has 2 exons. Lineage: Eukaryota; Metazoa; Chordata; Mammalia; Carnivora; Felidae. The record is from RefSeq and is a predicted model, not a curated record.
UGUGCCUGCAGCCCAUGACUGGACUGGUCAGCUCACUGCUGACUGAGAAGUCCAGAAACAAGUCUGGGAACAUCCCCUCUCCCUGGGCACCAGCAAACUCAUGAAGCAGGGGUCAUAGGACAUGGUAGCAAGAAGUGUGUCUCAGCUGACCUGUGAAUGAGCAAACACCAGACGUCUACCCAUGUCUGAUCUUCUGUGCUGACCUUGGUGACUGGAAAUGACACAACCCAAUUUUUCUGGCGACUCCACUGAACCCCUGAUCUUUUCCUUCAUGUGACAAAUCACACAGCAGAUAUUUCUUCUGAGUACAGAUAGCUGCUCUGAUUGAGAACAAGCAUGAAUUUGGUUAUCUGCCUUCUCCUGUACAUAAGGCCAUUUAUAGGUUCCUCAUCUCCCUUCCAAGGUCCAAAUAAACCUUCCAGUAAUUGUAGCCUCA